RNAcentral lists this ribosomal RNA (253 nucleotides) under uncultured bacterium. RNAcentral describes it as "partial 16S ribosomal RNA". It matches the Rfam family "Bacterial small subunit ribosomal RNA", at positions 524 to 776 of the family's 1533-position model. The record is from RNAcentral.
UACAGAGGGUGCGAGCGUUGUUCGGAAUUAUUGGGCGUAAAGGGCGCGUAGGCGGCGCGGUAAGUCACCUGUGAAAUCUCCCGGCUCAACUGGGAGCUUGCAGGCGAAACUGCCGUGCUCGAGUAUGGGAGAGGUGCGUGGAAUUCUCGGUGUAGCAGUGAAAUGCGUAGAUAUCGAGAGGAACACCAGUGGCGAAGGCGAGUCCCUGGACAACACCUGACACUGAGGCACGAAAGCUAGGGGAGCAAACAGG